CUACGUGCCAGCAGCCGCGGUAAUACGUAUGUCGCAAGCGUUAUCCGGAAUUAUUGGGCUUAAAGGGCAUCUAGGCGGUAUAACAAGUUGAAGGUGAAAAGCUGUAGCUCAACUAUAGUCUUGCCUACAAAACUGUAAUACUAGAGUACUGGAAAGGUGGGUGGAACUACACGAGUAGAGGUGAAAUUCGUAGAUAUGUGUAGGAAUGCCGAUGAUGAAGAUAACUCACUGGACAGAAACUGACGCUGAAGUGCGAAAGCUAGGGGAGCAAACAGGAUUAGAUACCCUGGUAGUCCUAGCUGUAAACGAUGAUUACUGGGUGUGGGGAUGAGAAGUCUCUGUGCCGAAGCAAAAGCGAUAAGUAAUCCGCCUGGGGAGUACGUUCGCAAGAAUGAAACUCAAAGGAAUUGACGGGGGCCCGCACAAGUGGUGGAGCAUGUGGUUUAAUUCGACGCAACGCGAGGAACCUUACCAGACCUUGACAUCGC
This 488-nucleotide ribosomal RNA is filed under the name uncultured bacterium. RNAcentral's name for it is "bacterial SSU rRNA". It matches the Rfam family "Bacterial small subunit ribosomal RNA", at positions 501 to 990 of the family's 1533-position model. The record is from RNAcentral.